UACAGAGGGGGCAAGCGUUGUCCGGAAUUACUGGGCGUACAGCGCGCGCAGGCGGUUGCCGACGUGCCGUGUGACAAACGGGGGCUCAACCCCCGAGGGCCACGGUAAACGGGGCGACUGGAGGAAGGGAGAGGGAUGUGGAAUGCCCGGUGGAGCGGUGAAAUGCGUAGAUAUCGCUUGGAACGCCGAAGGUGAAAACAGGUUGCUGGGGUUGUGCCGACGCUGAGACACGAAAGCCAGGGGAGCGAACGGG
This 253-nucleotide ribosomal RNA is filed under the name uncultured bacterium. Its description in RNAcentral is "partial 16S ribosomal RNA". It matches the Rfam family "Bacterial small subunit ribosomal RNA", at positions 524 to 776 of the family's 1533-position model. The record is from RNAcentral.